GACGAACGCUGGCGGCGUGCUUAACACAUGCAAGUCGAACGGAAAGGCCCUGCGUUUGUGGGGUUCUCGAUUGGCGAACGGGUGAGUAACACGUGAGUAUCCUGCCCUUGUCUGUGGGGGAACUUCAGGGAACUGGGGCUAAUACCGGAUAUGAUCUCCUGCUGCGUGGGGGUGGUUGGUAAGUUUCGGCGGUUGGGGAUGGACUCGCGGCUUAUGAGCUUGUUGGUGUGGUAGGUGCUGACCAAGGGUUUGACGGGUAGCCGGCCUGGGAGGGUGACCGGGCACCUUGGGACUGCGGUACGGCGCAGACUGCUACGGGAGGCAGCAGUGGAGAAUCUUACGGAGUGGGGGCACGUCUGAUGCGGAGGCGCCGCGAUCGGGAUGCCGGCCUUUGAGUUGAAAACAGAUUUCGCAGGUGCCGAACAGUGCGUGACGGUAAUGGGUCAAGAAGCAACGGCUAACUACGUG
Molecule: ribosomal RNA, 468 nt
Filed under: uncultured bacterium
Lineage: Bacteria
Description: partial 16S ribosomal RNA
Rfam family: Bacterial small subunit ribosomal RNA
Source: RNAcentral